GGUUAAGCGACUAAGCGUACACGGUGGAUGCCCUGGCAGUCAGAGGCGAUGAAGGACGUGCUAAUCUGCGAUAAGCGUCGGUAAGGUGAUAUGAACCGUUAUAACCGGCGAUUUCCGAAUGGGGAAACCCAGUGUGUUUCGACACACUAUCAUUAACUGAAUCCAUAGGUUAAUGAGGCGAACCGGGGGAACUGAAACAUCUAAGUACCCCGAGGAAAAGAAAUCAACCGAGAUUCCCCCAGUAGCGGCGAGCGAACGGGGAGCAGCCCAGAGCCUGAAUCAGUGUGUGUGUUAGUGGAAGCGUCUGGAAAGGCGCGCGAUACAGGGUGACAGCCCCGUACACAAAAAUGCACAUGCUGUGAGCUCGAUGAGUAGGGCGGGACACGUGGUAUCCUGUCUGAAUAUGGGGGGACCAUCCUCCAAGGCUAAAUACUCCUGACUGACCGAUAGUGAACCAGUACCGUGAGGGAAAGGCGAAAAGAACCCCGGCGAGGGGAGUGAAAAAGAACCUGAAACCGUGUACGUACAAGCAGUGGGAGCACGCUUAGGCGUGUGACUGCGUACCUUUUGUAUAAUGGGUCAGCGACUUAUAUUCUGUAGCAAGGUUAACCGAAUAGGGGAGCCGAAGGGAAACCGAGUCUUAACUGGGCGUUAAGUUGCAGGGUAUAGACCCGAAACCCGGUGAUCUAGCCAUGGGCAGGUUGAAGGUUGGGUAACACUAACUGGAGGACCGAACCGACUAAUGUUGAAAAAUUAGCGGAUGACUUGUGGCUGGGGGUGAAAGGCCAAUCAAACCGGGAGAUAGCUGGUUCUCCCCGAAAGCUAUUUAGGUAGCGCCU
Molecule: ribosomal RNA, 839 nt
Filed under: Escherichia coli
Lineage: Bacteria; Pseudomonadati; Pseudomonadota; Gammaproteobacteria; Enterobacterales; Enterobacteriaceae
Description: partial 23S ribosomal RNA
Rfam family: Bacterial large subunit ribosomal RNA
Source: RNAcentral